Molecule: ribosomal RNA, 483 nt
Filed under: uncultured bacterium
Lineage: Bacteria
Description: bacterial SSU rRNA
Rfam family: Bacterial small subunit ribosomal RNA
Source: RNAcentral
CUCUGUGACUCCUACGGGAGGCAGCAGUGGGGAAUAUUGCACAAUGGGCGCAAGCCUGAUGCAGCCAUGCCGCGUGUGUGAAGAAGGCCUUCGGGUUGUAAAAGCACGUUUCAGUUGUGAGGAAGGUGGUGUCGUUAAUAGCGGCAUCAUUUGACGUUAGCAACAGAAGAAGCACCGGCUAACUCCGUGCCAGCAGCCGCGGUAAUACGGAGGGUGCGAGCGUUAAUCGGAAGUUACUGGGCGUAAAGCGCAUGCAGGUGGUUUGUUAAGUCAGAUUGUGAAAGCCCGGGGACUCGAACCUCGGAACUGCAUUUUGAAACUGGCAGACUAGAGUACUGUAGAGGGGGUAGAAUUUCAGGUGUAGCGGUGAAAUGCGUAGAGAUCUGAAGGAAUACCGGUGGCGAAGGCGGCCCCCUGGACAGAUACUGACACUCAGAUGCGAAAGACGUGGGGAGGCAAACAAGGAUUAGAUACCCUUCGUAG